Molecule: non-coding RNA, 607 nt
Organism: Anolis sagrei ordinatus
Lineage: Eukaryota; Metazoa; Chordata; Lepidosauria; Squamata; Anolidae
Source: RefSeq, a predicted model, not a curated record
AGAGGGAGGGGUCUCUCCCUCCCCUCCUUCAUUCCCUCUUUCCCUCUUUCCCUCCCUCCUUCCUUUAAUUCCUUCCCGACGCAGGUGGAGGAGUGGAGGGCUGCGUAAAUAGAGAGAGAGAGAGGAGAGGAGGCAGGGAUGCAGUAAGAGGAAGAGGAAGAGGAAGAGGGGGGCAAGCAUAUCCACCUGCUGCUGAGGAAGAAGAGGAAGAGGAGAAGGAGGGGUGCCCCCUCCCCGUUUUUCUCCCCCCCCCCUCUGUGGAUGAGGAAGGAAGGGCUGCCUCACCUGCAUCUGCAUCCCUUGCAACAUCUCCAUCCCUUGCAGCCUGCAUUUUGGAUCUCUUGCAUUUCUAACCCGGUCCCGAGGAGCGAUGGAGGGCAACGGGAGAGAAGGAGGCUUCUUCUGAAUCAGCUCCUGGGCCUUCCUUUUUGAGGCAUGGUUGCACGCCCACUUCAGCCUCCGGCGCCGCUUUCGGGGAAGCCUUCCGCCCUUGGCGCCGUCUCUCUUCUGGAAGCGGAGGAAGCCCAUCCUGGAAGGAAAAGGGGCCGCGCGGGAUCACCCCCGAAGGAGGUGGGAAAUGGCGCCGAAAUAAUGCCGGAAUCACUUC